UUGCUUUAGUACAUAGGUAUUCCAGUAAGUUCAAUUAUUAUUCUUACUUUUGAUGCUUAAUUGGCUCUCCUUAGGUUAAUCAGAAGGGGAAAAAAAUGCUAUUUCGAUUCUUCUGGGAAUGUUUUUCUGUAUAUUUUUUUUCACUCCUGUUCUGUCAGUCUAUGCUUGCAUUCAUAUUCUGUGUAUUCCUGUGGUGGGUGUAUAUGUACCACUGGAAGAUGAUACCUCUCUAAUAAAAAUAAAAUUGGUACAGUAACUCUGAGAUCUUAUUUUAUUAAACCUGUUACAGAAAGUACCAGCUAUGUGCAAAGAAGAAAGUAAUAUGGAGGAACUGUUUUAAUGCUGCAUCAGAGGGGAAAAGAGGACUACAAUGAUGCAGAAAAUCACUGAAAUAGGAGUAAUGGUGAAGAAGAACAGAACUGUGGAAAUGUCACCAUGGCUGUUGGGUGCAUUGAGCUGAGGCCCACUGACUCCUGGGCGCUUUGGUUAACAAAGCAGAAGUUCUACAGCAACCUUCCUUACUCACAAUAAAAUGCUCCAGGAGAUGGAAUGCUGCAUUGUGAAAACCAGCAAAUAUGAAAACCAUUUGUGAAAGGGCUCUGCAGAAGCACACAGUGAAUUGUCACUGAUGUUGAACAUAAAUGGAAUUCAGUCAAGUUUCAACUUUAAACACUGGGUCUGAGGAGACUUCUUAAUCGUUUCUUUCUACCUCAGAAGACACAAAGUUCCUUGUUGCAAUGUUUUCUGUUGGUGACUGGGGCUAAUGAGGAGAUGUAAAACUACAGUGAACCCAGUGACUGUUUCAAAUCCCGGCCUAGGAACUACCACUGACUCAUAAUCCAGAUCCUAAAGUACUUCCAGUAAUACAAAGACUUUGUACCCAGUGUUUGGCUUCUGUGGGAAUGGCCUGAGGUUUUCUGAAGACAAGACACACCCUAUCCCAUGGUCUGAAACCACACUUCGCAGAGAAUAAGCUGAUUGCAUGAGAAAAAUCUGAAUCUGGGGAAGACUCAGAAGCCUUGGCUGAGGAUCAGGUUGACUGUGACUGAGGAUAAGUCACCUAGGGCAGACCUUCACAGGGAUCUGCCUGCCAGAAAAGCAGUAUUUUGAACAUCUCGGCCACAGUGUCUCUGUAUGAAUUCUAUAAUGACAUCUUUGGAUAAAUAAACGAAGGACCAGCUGAAUUAAGAUUGUUUCAAUUCAUGUCCUAUCUCAAGCAAAAGGCUUUGUCUGAAGCUGUCAUGACGUCACUAGCUGAGACUGCCAGAGGACUUUUGUUGGACCUGAACUUCUCCAUAGUGGAAAUAGCUCCUGACCACAGAAUCACAGCAGUACAAGAGCAGAGCAGUUUUACUGUCUUAUCUCCUCUGCAGGCAAACAUUCUUCCUCCUACAGAUCACCAUAAGGGUAACAAAACUUUAUCAGCAUGACUAACAUCACAGUGCCUUGAUCCACUUAACGGUAUAGAUAUAUUUUGUACCAGCCCAUUGGAACAUAGAAUUUUCUAAAAAUUAAAGCAAGUUUUGAUCAUGCAGUGCUCUACCAAGCAGAGUUAGAACCACCCAUGGCUUUGCUCUUGCCUUAUAGGUCUCAUCUGCCCAUGUGCUUGUUAAUACUUUUUGUCACUCUUGUGACAGAUGACUUCUAUUGAGUCUGUUUGGAGGAAGUCUUGCCCAUCUCAGUCUUCCAUUUAGACCAGUAAAAGUUUUGCUGUUAUUUUCACUGAUUUAGGCUCCUGGUAUCAAAUACAUCUAUAUGAAAAACAGAGACAAAAAUUUGAACUUCAGAUUCUUGGCUGAAAUAACAGAGCACAACUUCCUUAAUUUGUACCAUCUGCUCAUAUAGGCUGUGCUUGUCAGGUCAAAAGCUUUCUGAGUCAUUCAUCCAGUAGCAGGACUUCUGGAAAAUUGAGUGAGAGUGGAAAAUGGUGCUCAUGAAAAAUAGAUUUUGUAUUAUAACUAAUCUCCUAAGCUAUUAGUUUGAUGGAAUAAAGUUUUCUGUUGUUUUAUUUCUAAAUCUAUCUGAAAUAUCAAGGUUUGGAAAUCUGAGGCUUUGAUUUGAAAUCAUCUGUAAUCAACAAGCAGGAUGUCUGAAGUACUUGAGAAUAUGUGUACACCAAUAACUGCACUUUACAGGCAAAAAUCAAUUUGACAAUAGAAAGAGUAGAUAGCAAGAUACUACCUUGACAGAGAAUUUUGAUACAAUAUCUAGUUCAAUUGUCAAAAAUUAUUGAAACAUGAUUCAUAGAAGCUUCACAAAGGUGCCUCUAAUGCACCCCAGAACUUAAUUCUGCUCCAGAUAUUUGGACCACACUGGUGCUCUCACAAGAAGAUUGGUACCUCUUGGAUGACAUAUACCAUAGGAUGGACACACUUUUUGAGUCUGGUUUGCAUGCCACAGCAAGGCCCUCAUUUGAAGAUCUGCACAAGAGGAAAAGAUAGCAUGGGAUGGAGUAUCCAGAAGUAACCUGAGCUUUAGUUACAUUUUUGGAAAUGUAGGUGAGAGAUCAGAUUUACCUAUCCAUGUAACCCAUGUCUCUCUGAACAAAACAUAAAGCACUAUCAAUUUGCACUUUUAUAUCACUUCCAGUGAAAAGAAAACAGUUACAGAAAUCUUCUGCCUGUUUACACAAUGUCUUUCUGAAGAACUAGGAACCAGGGAGUUAAUGAUAAUGUAAGCUUCCCUGAAACUGGAGAUUAGGACAAGAGAUAUACACCAGGUGCCUAAGAGGCCAAAGGAUGCUGAUUUCUAAGCUGGAGGCUGGGCUUUAGCUCUUCUCUCAGCUAAAUCUGAAGACCUUAGUAGUUACAGUAGUCAGGGUGGCUACAGACUCUCCCUUCCUGCAGAGAUCCUCUGUUAGUAUUGAGUUUUCUUUAAAUAUUCCUAUAAAUAUUCCAUGCCCUGCUACUUCCAGCUUUAGGAUUAGUCUUCACCAGCAGUUUUUACACUCUAUCUGAGGGUACACGCAGAGCAGCUCCUGGGUUUUGGUGAUGUUUUGAUGUGGAGCCAUUUUGCUAAGAUAAAAUGUUAUUUACUUCAUCAAAAUUUUUUUAAACUUAGUACAAAAGAAGAAAACUUGGUUAUGAGAGAAAAGCUAUAGAGAGCUUUCUUUUUUUAUUAAUGGAUUUGUCACUGUCACUAGAUGUGUUUUAACUUAUUUAAGAAGAGCUUCCUGUCUUGUAGCACAUAGCUUAUAAUUAGUCUGUAAUAUAGAUGGUCUCAAAAGAAGGGAUUGAGUUGGUUUAAGUUACAGUAGCUAACACAAUAGUAUUCAUCUCCCAGCUGCUAAUUAAUCUGUUCAGCUAUCUGUACCUUCCUUUCCUUACUCAUUACUUAGAGAGAAGGUCCUUUUUUUUCCCCUUCUUAGUUGAACUGUAAUCUUUCAGGAAUUAGCUGUAUUGACUUAAUUCUACUGAAGUUUGUUCAAGUCCUCUAAAGGUGCCGCAUGGAGGAGGAGGAGGAGGAGAGACAUUUAUCUUCCAUUUCCUCAUUUCAGCUGCUGCUGGAAUAGCUGCUCUGUGUGGUGUUUCAUUUUCCCUUCUUUGGUGGGACCAAGCCCCUUAGUCCAUUACAAUGCCCAGCAGCUCCAGCCAGGCCCGAGGGUGUUUUUGUGUGCUGAACUGCCCAGAAGCCCCCUACACCUACACAGGGUAUCCUGGAUAUGACAGAGGAUAAUGUGGGAAAGGUUCACAGCUGCACCUCUGCAGUUUGGUGAGCUGCCUCAAAAUAGCUGCUACAUGGGGACUACACUCCACCUUCCACCCACAGCUGCCCCCAGAGUGCUGUGUGAGAGCACAGGGGGGGCACUGGGAGCCUGUGCCUGCCCCAGCUGAGCUCAGGGACAAAGGACCUUGUGCAGCUGCGAGGGCUCCUGCUCCGAUCCCAGUCCUCGCAGUGACUGCCAUCCCUGCCGCAUCACCCCCUCGCCACGGGCAUAUGCUCGCCUUUGUGCUAUGUCAAAAUAUGUUUAAAGCCCAUUUCAGCAGCAAGCUCCCUGAGUUUCCCUGCCAGGAGAUGUUAAUUACUGUGGCGCAGUCUUUGGUUUUCUGUGGCACAGUAACAAUUAAUUUACACCAUUGGAAAAACACUUACACUUUUUUUAUUAAAUAUCAAUAAAACCAAAUCAAUAGAGCGUAAAGUAUACAAUAUCAAAAUUAAAAGCUCUUGUUUUUAUACUUGAGCAUCCCUAAUAAAAUUCCACUGUUGAUUCAA
Non-coding RNA from Taeniopygia guttata (zebra finch), 4212 nucleotides. The record is from RefSeq and is a predicted model, not a curated record. NCBI's taxonomy places the organism in Eukaryota, Metazoa, Chordata, Aves, Passeriformes, Estrildidae.